This 397-nucleotide ribosomal RNA is filed under the name uncultured bacterium. Its description in RNAcentral is "partial 16S ribosomal RNA". It matches the Rfam family "Bacterial small subunit ribosomal RNA", at positions 523 to 918 of the family's 1533-position model. The record is from RNAcentral.
ACACGUAGGGGGCGAGCGUUGUCCGGAAUGAUUGGGCGUAAAGGGCGCGUAGGCGGCCGCUUAAGUCUGGAGUGAAAGUCCUGUUUUCAAGAUGGGAAUUGCUUUGGAUACUGGGGGGCUUGAGUGCAGGAGAGGUUAUCGGAAUUCCCGGUGUAGCGGUGAAAUGCGUAGAGAUCGGGAGGAACACCAGUGGCGAAGGCGGGUAACUGGACUGCAACUGACGCUGAGGCGCGAAAGUGUGGGGAGCAAACAGGAUUAGAUACCCUGGUAGUCCACACUGUAAACGAUGAAUGCUAGGUGUAAGAGGUAUCGACCCCUUUUGUGCCGGAGUCAACACAAUAAGCAUUCCGCCUGGGGAGUACGGCCGCAAGGUUGAAACUCAAAUGAAUUGACGGGG